ACCUACGGGGGGCAGCAGUAGGGAAUUUUCGUCAAUGGGCGCAAGCCUGAACGAGCAAUGCCGCGUGAACGAGGAAGGUCUUCGGAUCGUAAAGUUCUGUUGAAGGGGAAAAAGAGCGGAGAGAGGAAAUGGUCUCCGAUUGAUAUUACCCUUCGAGGAAGUCACGGCUAACUACGUGCCAGCAGCCGCGGUACUACGUAGGUGGCGAGCGUUAUCCGGAAUGAUUGGGCGUAAAGGGUGCGUAGGCGGCCUGCUAAGUCUGGAGUGAAAGGUACCGGCUCAACCGGUACAGGCUCUGGAAACUG
Molecule: ribosomal RNA, 305 nt
Filed under: uncultured bacterium
Lineage: Bacteria
Description: bacterial SSU rRNA
Rfam family: Bacterial small subunit ribosomal RNA
Source: RNAcentral